This 253-nucleotide ribosomal RNA is filed under the name uncultured bacterium. Its description in RNAcentral is "partial 16S ribosomal RNA". It matches the Rfam family "Bacterial small subunit ribosomal RNA", at positions 524 to 776 of the family's 1533-position model. The record is from RNAcentral.
UACGGGGGGGGCAAGCGUUGUUCGGAAUUACUGGGCGUAAAGGGCUCGUAGGCGGCCAACUAAGUCAGACGUGAAAUCCCUCGGCUUAACCGGGGAACUGCGUCUGAUACUGGAUGGCUUGAGAUUGGGAGAGGGAUGCGGAAUUCCAGGUGUAGCGGUGAAAUGCGUAGAUAUCUGGAGGAACACCGGUGGCGAAGGCGACAUCCUGGACCAACACUGACGCUGAGGAGCGAAAGCCAGGGGAGCAAACGGG